UGUUAAAAAUUUUAUCCAAUUUUACCGUUAAAAACUGGCGUAGCCGAUAGAAUAACUAGACAAUUAUACGUGGCAUGCCAUGUGUAUCACCUCAUUUUGACAUUCAGGGGCCAAUUUUUAACAGUAAAAAUGGAUAGAACUUUUUAACA
Molecule: non-coding RNA, 149 nt
Organism: Gossypium raimondii (Peruvian cotton)
Lineage: Eukaryota; Viridiplantae; Streptophyta; Magnoliopsida; Malvales; Malvaceae
Source: Rfam